GUCUCCGUCGAGUUCGGGCUAGAGUAAGGAUCCCCCAUCAUGAUUUUCUUCCUACUCUCUUCUUGACGGAUUUCAGAGAAAACUUAUCUGAGACUUGGUAGCGGUUUGGUACCCAAAACGCGACCACGAACUUCAUCUAAAUUUUUGUUGAGACCCAUCAAGAAUUUGAAGACUCUUUUUCGUUCGGUGAGAGUUUUGAAGAGUUUGGAGUCUUUGGGACAACUCCACUAAUGUUCUUUGAAGACGUCGGGCUGCUGCCAAUUCCGAGUGAGUGCAUUGUAGUAUUGAGUCACGGUGAGCUCCCCAUGUCGCAGGUCGUGCAGGUGAGUCUCGAUUUCGAAGAUGACUGAGGUAUUAUCUCGGCUGGAGUAGAACUUGCGUGCGGCCACCCAGAUGUCAUGCGCAGUUUCAUACAGCAAGAAGUUCUCUCCAUUCUCUGUUGUUAUUGAGUUGACUAACUAAGACAUUACAAGGUUGUUUUCGACCUUCCACGAACGGGCUCCUGGAUCAUUUGCUGAUGGUUGAGUGACUUCUCCUGUAAGAUAUUCAUCUCCUACCCUUUCCUCGGCUGAACAUGAGUAUGGAUGAUGACCAUUAGAGAUAAUUACUCCUAUUCAGUCUGUGUCCAGUGACAAAUGAAGGUGUUUGGUCGACGUGAGAUUGGGUGAUGGACAUUGAAUUAUAAGAACCUGAGAUAACGUUAGGGAGAGAGGAGUUUUGCUCGUCCAUUGUCAUUUUGUCUUUGGCUGGUAUCGCGUCGCCUAUCCCCUUCCCUUAACUGCCCCUCCAUCUCCCUGCUGUCUAGCUCUUCCAACUCCCUAAGACUUUCAUAAAUCAUCCUCUCAGCCUUGCCCUCCUCCUUCCUAGCCCAUGUUUUAAUUUUUGUCUUCAAAGCCUUUAAUUUUGUAGCAAACACAAAGCUACCCGUACCACUAACAGAAGCCAUCUGCCACUCCUUUUCAACCAACUAUUUGAACCCAUCCACCUUUACCCACUUAUGAUCCAAGUGGACAGGGAGGCUCACGCGCGAACAAGGCUGCUUGCACGCGUGCCGAGCAUCCGCCCAGUAGGCCUAGCGUGCAGCUUGUGGCCCAACCAGCGGGCCUGUUUCGCACGACCCGCAUUGAUUAGCUGACCCAGCCCCUGACCCGGCUGGCCCUUCCCCACCUUUUUAAUCAUUUUUUUAAUUUUUAUUUUAAUUAGACCCCACUUUUUAAUUCUCCAUGUUUUUAAAUUAAUUACCACAUGUUUUAAUUUAAAUUCUCCAUGUGUUUUACGUGAAAAUCACAUGAGAUAAAGUCUAUCUUAUUUUAAUUAUUAUUUUAAUAUAAAUUUUAUUUAUAAGAUUAUUUAAUUAAUUAUUUUGUAAGUAGAUAUGAUAGAAUUAAUAUUUUAUUAUAUAAUUAUCCUAAAAUUAGAUAUAAUUUUAUGUAAAAUAUUAUUUUAUUAAUUUUUUCAAGUAAUUAUGAUCAUUUAGAACUAUUACGGGAAAGUUCAUAAAUAGGUUUUUACUCCUAGGUUGUAAACACACAAUUACAAUCAAUUGAAAGAAAUAUUAUUGAAACUUACUUUUCUUUAAUUAGCAUUUUUGCUAAUUUUUAUCUUCUUCAAGUUCUUCAAAAAGCAGAAGUCU
RNAcentral lists this long non-coding RNA (1633 nucleotides) under Carica papaya (papaya). RNAcentral's name for it is "long non-coding RNA (CPAP_LNC002395)". The record is from RNAcentral. Lineage: Eukaryota; Viridiplantae; Streptophyta; Magnoliopsida; Brassicales; Caricaceae.